RNAcentral lists this RNase P RNA (367 nucleotides) under Dehalococcoidia bacterium. RNAcentral's name for it is "RNase P RNA component class A". It matches the Rfam family "Bacterial RNase P class A". From Rfam's summary of the family: Ribonuclease P (RNase P) is a ubiquitous endoribonuclease, found in archaea, bacteria and eukarya as well as chloroplasts and mitochondria. Its best characterised activity is the generation of mature 5'-ends of tRNAs by cleaving the 5'-leader elements of precursor-tRNAs. Lineage: Bacteria; Bacillati; Chloroflexota; Dehalococcoidia. The record is from RNAcentral.
CAAGUAAACCGGGUGACCGCUCUGUAUUUAAUAUACAGGGAGGAAAGUCCGAGCUCCACCGAGCAAGGUGCUGGGUAACACCCAGGAGGGGCAACCCUAUGGAAAGUGCCACAGAAACAUACCACCCGUCCUCUGCCAAGUAAAGGACGGGUAAGGGUGAAAUGGCGAGGUAAGAGCUCACCAGCAACCAGGUGACUGGCUGGCUGGGCAAACCCUACCUGGAGCAAGACCGAAUAGGAGGGCAAUUAAGGUGCUCGGCCAAUGCCCUCGGGUUGGUCGCUUGACCUUGAUGGUAACAUCAGGGCUAGAUGGAUGGUCACCACCCUAUUUCAGGGGACAGAACUCGGCUUAUAGGUUUACUUGCCCC